UACGUAGGUGGCAAGCGUUGUCCGGAAUUAUUGGGCGUAAAGCGCGCGCAGGCGGUCCUUUAAGUCUGAUGUGAAAGCCCACGGCUCAACCGUGGAGGGUCAUUGGAAACUGGGGGACUUGAGUACAGAAGAGAGGAGUGGAAUUCCACGUGUAGCGGUGAAAUGCGUAGAGAUGUGGAGGAACACCAGUGGCGAAGGCGACUCUUUGGUCUGUAACUGACGCUGAGGCGCGAAAGCGUGGGGAGCAAACAGG
RNAcentral lists this ribosomal RNA (253 nucleotides) under uncultured bacterium. Its description in RNAcentral is "partial 16S ribosomal RNA". It matches the Rfam family "Bacterial small subunit ribosomal RNA", at positions 524 to 776 of the family's 1533-position model. The record is from RNAcentral.